This 819-nucleotide non-coding RNA is filed under the name Eucrate crenata. Lineage: Eukaryota; Metazoa; Arthropoda; Malacostraca; Decapoda; Goneplacidae. The record is from RNAcentral.
ACAAAGUUUGAUUCUUUUUUGAAGUUUUAUGAUUUUAUUUGAAAUUGUAUGAAAAUGAUUUAUAGUAGGAAAGAAAUAUAAUUUAUUUAUAUUAGUGUUAAAUUUUAAUAAGAGUUAUAAAUUGUGAAUUCUCAGCAUAAAAUAUUAAACAAUAUAUAAAGUAUGAUUUAGAAAAUAAUUAAAACCUGAUUAAAUAUUGUGCCAGCAGUCGCGGUUAUACUUUAAGGUUAAGUAAAAUUUUAUUGGCUGUAGUUAAAUGUUUAAAUAUGCAAGCUUUUUAAAAAUAAAAGGUGAAAUUAGGUUAUUUAUUUUAAAAGUAAAAAAAUUUUUAUUGAAGCUAAAAAUUUUCAGGUUUAAACUAGGAUUAGAUACCCUAUUAUACUGAAAAAUAACUUGUUCUGCCAAAUGAUUAAUAGAUAUGAUCUUUAAAAUUAAAGAAUUUGGCGGUAAUUUAGUCCUGUUAGAGGAACCUGUUUAUUAAAUCGAUAAACCACGAAAUAUCUUACUUGUUUUAUUAGUAAUUUGUAUACCAUCAUUAUCAGAUAAUUUUUAUAGAAUGAAUUAUUGAAUUUAUAAGAAAUUAGUAAAAUUAGAUCAAGGUGCAGUUCAUAAAUAAGCUUAAAUGGGUUACAAUAAAUUAUAAUUAAAUGAAAUAAAAUUUUAAAUAGUUUUAAGAAGGAGGAUUUAAUUGUAAUAAAAGUUUAAAAUGCUUUUAUGAUAUAGGUUCUAAAUUAUGUACAUAUCGCCCGUCGCUUUCAUAUAAUUAUAUGAGAUAAGUCGUAACAUAGUAGAUUUACUGGAAAGUGAAUCUAGUUUAAU